AUUCAAGUAAAUAUCAUCAAAACCAUCUUGUACUGGCUAAAAAAAAUGAAUGGUGGAUCACUGGAAUAGAUGGUGAGACCAAGUUUAAGAUUUCAUUAAAAGAAAUUCCUGAAGAAGCAAAAUUGCACAUGACUUCAUGAGGGGGAUUCUAGAAGGGAACAGUAACCAGGAACUUGAGUUUGGAAGACCUC
This 191-nucleotide long non-coding RNA is filed under the name Monodelphis domestica (gray short-tailed opossum). Its description in RNAcentral is "lncRNA (ENSMODG00000046092.1)". Lineage: Eukaryota; Metazoa; Chordata; Mammalia; Didelphimorphia; Didelphidae. The record is from RNAcentral.